UUAUGCAGCAGCACAGCCACCAACCUCGGCCUCGACGGUUCAAUGACGGUCCGGUGCCCACCGGGCUGCGCCGAAACCGGCUACAAGGUCUACGGAACACGGCUCUACAAACCGGACUCAAACAUCUGCGCGGCCGCUAUUCACUCGGGCGUCAUUGAGAACGAGAUCGGAGGAGAUGUGACUUUGCUGAAGACACUGCCACAGAACGCCUACAACGGC
Molecule: long non-coding RNA, 219 nt
Organism: Syngnathus acus (greater pipefish)
Lineage: Eukaryota; Metazoa; Chordata; Actinopteri; Syngnathiformes; Syngnathidae
Exons: 3
Source: RefSeq, a predicted model, not a curated record